This is a long non-coding RNA of Felis catus (domestic cat), 19046 nucleotides long. RefSeq lists it as uncharacterized. The transcript has 3 exons. The record is from RefSeq and is a predicted model, not a curated record. Lineage: Eukaryota; Metazoa; Chordata; Mammalia; Carnivora; Felidae.
GGUGGUGGGGGGGCAGGGGUGGGAGCAAGAGGUUGCGGGGCGAUGGUGGAAGGUUUAACGGGACCAAUUUCUGGAACAUUCGGGACUGCGGCACCCUACGGCCAAGACCGAGAUUUGGGUCUGCGCAGGCGACGAUGGGUGGUCCGACGGGCUUCAGGACUUGAUGGCGUAACCCCCUUCUUCCCCCACGUACGUAUCUGCUGGGAUCGGGGGCGAUGUCUCUGCGUAUGUGGGUGCUCUGUCUUUCUCACCUUCUUUCUCGCUUUUUUGCUAUUUUUUCUCUGAGAGAGGUUUUUUGUGUGUUUUUUUUUUUUUUUCCACUUUAAUUUUCUUUUCUUUUAGUGUCAGCUGCUCAAGCCUGACCGGGGUAGAGGCUAGAGGAGCAAGCUGUCCCCAGCGUCCCACCUGACCUACCAGCCUUUGCCCCCGUUUCCUUCUUUUGAACAGACAGACAGACUGGUUUUCCAGGUUGUUUGGGUAUCCGCGUCUGUCUGUCCAUCCACGUCGUUCUUAGGUGGCAGGUAGGAAGUGAGGAGGAGAGGUGCUGGGAGGAAGGUGGAAAGGCAUAGCUUUCCAGGGGUUGCCUUAUUGAAAUGUUCAGCCUCGGGGCAGCUGGGCUGGUGGGGAGCCGGUGGGCAGGAUGGGGCGUGGGUUGGGAGAAGUGGGGUAAAGCUGGUAGGUUUGUCACUGCGUAGUUGGGAAAAGUGGGGAAUGGUGACGCAGUCACUGUUGCAUCUUGUUAGGAGCUCCAAGGGGGACAGGUAGUGAGGCUCCCGGCAUCUGUAGGGCCAGCUGAGAGGGGUUAGGGAUGAGCUGAGAAGGGAAGCUAGCAUUUAGAGAUUAAAUGUCAUCCUUUUGGCGUUGGAAAGUUGUUUACCUUGCGCUCUCUGUGUCUCCAUGUUGGCACCCUUCCAGUUCACAUGUGAUGGCCUUCCUUGUACUGCUGCAUCAUUAACUAAGUGACUGAGCUGGCCUUCCAUUGGCCAGGGGAGGGCUCUCACUCCAGACAUUUCCUCUGAUUGGUGGGUGGGCCAAUGGCAGGUGAAAACCUUUUUUUGAUUGGCUGAGGGCAGGGUAUCAAAUCUGAAUUUGCAUUUCACUUGCUUAAAGGGGAGGGGGGGAGAAGCCCAGCAGCUUUCUAAAAUCUGUUUAGGGGUGUGCGUAUGCUCCUGUGUCUGUGCCUGCUUUUGACUGACCAGGUGAAGCCUCUUCCUAUGCCUUUUUUAUUUCAAGCACUCAGAGGAAGAGGAGCUCCGGGUUCCCCAAACUUUUUUUUUUUUUUUUUUUUUGGAGUAGGAAGGGUUGGAGAGAUGGGUGCGCAGAGGGUUGACCAAACUGGAAGGAAGUAUUUGUCCUUUAGUUUGGUGUCGGAAAAGGGAAUUUUCCAAUCAGCCACACCUCGGUGUUGCGGCACAAUAAUUCUUGGCUCCCCUGGAAACGCACGGGGCAAGGUAGGACAGAUCUGCUGCUGCUGACACUGCCACCACCAUGGGCUUCCUGCUGCCUCUGGGCUGCUCCCUGGGGACGAGAGAUUUGCAUUGACGGGGCUGUCCAGAGCUGAGCCCAGUGUGGGAAAGACCUGCCUUCUGGAAGCUGCUGCUCCUUGGUCUUGGAAAGGUGAGGAUGGGGACUGACCCCAGGAUGUUGCUCAGAAACUGCGUAUUUGGUGGGAUUUCCGGGAGAGCCACUGGGCCGCAAGAGGUUUGGAGGUCCCAGGUUAGGAGGGUUUGUCAUUCUGGGGAGUGAGGAGAGUGAGAGCAAAACUAGGGCAGCAGGCUGUUCUCCUGUGGUUGGGGGAGGGAGACUUGGAAAAAUCAGGGUCCCGGCUCCCCAUCGAGUCCGUGUCGCAGGUCUCACGUUUGUGGGGAGGGGGUUUCAGAGCCCUGCGCCUUGCGCAGUGGCCCCCGCCCAUGACUGCGCAUCCGGGAGCGCAAUGCGCCCUGGGUCGCUGGCCUAGGACAGCACCGCCCUUCUUCUUACAUAACGGAGGCACGGCUGUGCCUUCUCGGCCUUUCUUUGCAACCCUGCCUCCUGGCUCCCCAGGGCCCAUGGAGCUGGGGAGGGUCUGGUUGGGGAGCAGGGGAAGACUUGGCUCCCUCGGAGGGUUAGCCCUCGUCCAGUCAGUGAUGGGAGUUGGGUUUGAAGACAGAAGUGGGCUGCUGUCCCCCUUGGGAGGUGGAACGCAGAAUGUCCUUCUCAAUGCCCUGUGUCACCCAUGGCCCCCAGGACCUCUCGGGGGCAUGGGGUGUGACGUCCGUUCUUUCCUUCUUAUGCUUUCUGGGUUUUGAGAGGAAGUUUCUGAAGGGAAAGACAUGACGAUUCUAAGAGUGAGGAAGGGUGUGUGUCGGGGGCCCAGUUGGGAGGUGGUUGACAGUUCACUCCCCUUGUCACUGGCUUCCCUUUCCUUGGGUGGGUUGAUAGUGUUUUUGACUCCUUUUAUCCUAAGGCUGCCAUUUUGGAGGCAUUUCUGCUGGUCUCUGACAUGGUGACGUUGGUUUUUCUGGUCCUGCUGUGCCAGUUCCGCAGAGUGGGCGGGGGGCGGGGGCUGUGACGGAGGAGGGGAGGGGGGGCAGAAGCGCAGCAGAGGCGGGCCCAGUGGUGGCUGCCGCAGUGAAGGUGGCCCCAGGGGCAGGACCGCCCAGUCCCACCCUCGGACACAGUCUUGGGUGGGGGUUCCACCACCUGGGGCCCCGGCUUGGCCAGAGGGUGGGCAUGGCUAACAGAAGGCCUGGGUCUCCCAUGCCCUCGUUGGCCUGAGGCUUAAAGCAGUCCAGGGCAGAAGCUGAGUUUUUUUUUUUUGGGGGGGGGUGUGUGUGGAGGGGGCGACUGAAGGCAGAGACCUGGCUGCUCAUCUCAGACGUGUCGGACCUGUGGUUUGUGUUCCCCAAAUAGGCUCUGUCUCCGGCAGUUUUCUCUAUGGGGACAAGGGGGUGGGGUCCAAGGCAGCUUUGAGGAUUUGUUCGAUGGCCCUCCCUUCUCAUUGUUUUUCUUUUCUGCUCCUCGUCAUGCCCCCUGCCAGAGCCAUGGUUCCAGCUGUAGUCCUCCGGUGAGGCUCCCUGCUGCCCGUCCCUCUCCUUUCCAGGCCCUUCUGCGUGCAGCGGCCAUCUUGUCUUUUCUUGCUUAGAGGUUUAAAAUGGUUUCUCAUCAUUUCCAGAGUACAACUCCUUCCCUUUGGCACAGUGCUGAGGACUGUGUGUAACUAGCCUUAGCUCUCCUCCGCAGGCUUACUCUUCUCCGUUUCCCCAGGUGGACCACGUAUUCCGACAAAGCCAGGCAACUUACUUUUUCUUGCUUUUCCUAUCUCUCGGUUUUCCCUACUGGUAUUUUCCACGCCUCCUUGGCUCCACCGCACCCACCUGCGGCAGCCCCACCGUCCUCCUUGGACCUUUCCCGAUCACCUUCACAAGCAGCAGUCCUCGUAACCUCUCCUUGCUCCCUCCGGCCAAGCUCUCGUACACUUUGUCCCUCUCAUGUGCUACUUUGGUGGCCUUAUGGCUCUUUGUGUAGAAGUCUUGGGUCACCUGCGAGAUGAUGAGCUGCAAGGCGCUGAGAGUCAAGGAAGGAAGACACUUAACCUAUUUGGUGCCUUCUGUUCGCCAGGUGCCACGUCAGGCUGUUCCACGGACCUUCUUUCAUUUACUGCUUUCCACAACCCUCCGAGGAGAGUCCCGUGACUGAGAACUCAGAGGAGUUGAGCUCCAUGAGUCGGUGACAGCCUCUUGGAGACUCAGGCUAAGCUGGGGACAGAGCUGGUGUGCAGAAGACAGCCAUGAUACCGCCUAAUAGAAUGGCCCGUUUGCAUUUAUUUGGAACAAAAAAAGGAGAUGCCUGGCAGCCUGGCUUUCUGCAGCUAAGUAUUCGUCUGCAUUCUGGUUUUCCGUCACACAUCGGAAGCGAGAGAUGUUCAUUGAACCCACCCAGCUGCCGUGACUUCUCCUUUCCCCGCGCACCCCUGCCCCUGAUCCUCCAGCAGAGAUUGGAUUUUCUGGUGCGGCUGGAGAGCUGCAGAGAGGCUAGAUCCCAGUGUCCAGCCCCCGCACAUCGCCCUCACACUCAGGAGAAGUCGAUUUUCCCUAAAGCGGAGCCUAAAGCCCAUGUCCCUCAGUGCGGUGUUAUUAAUGGGCCGACGGGAAGGGCCCUGCUUGCCCUCACUGCCCCCAGCGGGGAGGUGAGGCUCUCGGCUGGCUGGCUGGGGGAGGACGGUCCUUGCCAGCAUCUAGCAUGGUUCUCUGCCAAGUUCUAGCUCCAAAUCUCUAGGCCGCUAGGAACCUAGACUAUAUAUAGCAUUGUGCUAAGCAAUUCUUAUCGGACAUGUCUGCCCUCCCCUGCGGGAGAGGAGCCCUUCUCCCAGGGAACCGGAACCUAGAGAGUGUGAGCCUUCUCCAAGGGGUCUUUCGUUCCAGGAAGGGCUGUGUGUGUGUGAGCGUGUGUGUGUGUGCGCGCGCGCGUGGCUGUGUCUGCUUCAGGGCUGCCAAGCUUUCUUUCCUUUUCCCUGUUUCAGAUGCUGGGAGAUCGGAAGGUCUGAUUGGGAUGAGGGCCAGGAGGUUCUUGAUGGUGUGCGAUGUGGCCUAUGGCGCCCACCAGCCUCCCGCAUGUCUUCUUGGUUUCCUGUUUGCCUUCUUUGCCCAAGGAGGUCUUCUGACCUCUUGAGCUUCUUUUGGAUCUGCUGUCUUCCCUGCCCUCCUCUACCUCUUCCUCCUCCUUCCUUUGAUUCUCUUUCGGGUAUGUGACGGCAGACUGGGCUACGGGCAUCCGGGAGCUGUGUCUGCUCGCCGCCCUCACCACCGCCCCCUCCCCCCCCCCCCCACCAGUUUGGGGUUUCUGGAAAUCUGGCUUUAGUCAGCCGUCCUCUGGAGGAAUUGGGUGGUGACUGAGCGUUUCGUGCUGGGUGGUACGGGGCAGAGCAGGCUGGAUAUUUGCCUCCUCCCUCCCGUAGGUGCUGUCGAGCCACCGAUUUUCUGUGGUUCCGCGACCCCGAGUGCUGACUGAUGUGACAGGUUCCGGUCUUGUCAGUGAAUCAUCGCCAAGCUGCUUAUUGGAACCCAGAUGCAGCAAGAAAAUGGGAUUUAACCCCUUCCCGGCCUCUCAGGUAAGUCAGGUGUGGGCUGACGCUUCUGGCCCCACCCCCCCGCCUCCCAGCCCCCUUCCCUUCUCAUGGAGACCGUUUUCCUUAGUCAGUGGGGAAUCCUCAAACGUCUCCAUUCACAAUCUCCCAAACAAUGCUCUCUUCUUUCCAUUCUCCUACUCCUGGCUUUUCUGUGAAUGGGGUUAGUAACCAGCAAGGACUUGGGGGAAGGGCCAGCCACAGUGAUCCGGCUGCCGGGAUGUGGGAGAUGGCAGGGACGCGUUUCUGGGUGUGGCAGUCAGCAGAGCGGUUGGGCCUCCCACAGUGACUGGCCGGGAACUCUCCUUGGCCCCCAACAUCCAGCAUGAGAUUCUGGGUUUGAGCCCGGUUGGGGGCGGGGAGUCUGCCUGGGACUUGGGUGUGCCCUUGCUUGUGUAUCCCAGUGGAUGUUCACUCUGACUCUGGACACCUUGGGGCUUGCGUCUGCAGCCGUAGCCUGGGGUUUAGACUAUGGGCUGGGCAGUAGACUUCAGGGCUCUUUCUCCACUUGCGUGUGUCAUGGGGCUUGUUUUGGGGGUUUUUUUGUUUGUUUUUUGUUUUGAGUAAAUCACUCUCUUCCUCUAGGCCCUCAUUGCCUUCACCUUAAAAAAAAAAAAAAAAAAAAAAAAAUUCCUGGCCUGGUAAACCAUUGCAAAGCAUCUCCAGGCUGUUGACGUACAAAUGUUUUUUCUCUGCCUCACUUGAUGCUGGUCACAGUAAUAGCAACGGUGAUUAAAAAUGAUGUUGGGACUGCAGAACUGGGGAGGCCUGUCGCAUUCUAGAGACAGUUCAGAAAGCAGACCGUAGUCGCUUGCCACGCUGCCUACCAGGAAAUCUCCUAUUGAAUGCAUUCCUGCAAUGUUCUGGGCGAGCAGGGUCAGGUUGGAAUUAGCCGACAGCGGAUUUGUCUGGGGUCUCAAGAUAAAAGGGAUGGUCCCCGGUAAUUUUACCGCACACUUGGCUGAUACCUCGAGGCACCUGUGGGAUCCCACCUCUGCUCUCCCCACCCCCUUCCCACCGCUGGCCAGGAGGGACCGGUGAAUUCUGCCCGUCAGUGUUUUCUCUUCUCUCCUCCCCAUCUGACCGGAGGCUGAGCUGGCUGCGAGCAGCCUGAGGUCCUCCCCGAGUGAGGAAUCCAAAGGCUGUUGGGAAGAGACACCCGACUCUUCUCUUCCCUGAAGGAAUUUGACAAGUCUCAGCCCCUCCAGCAGUAACGUGGGGAGGGAUGGCUGGGGGUGUUGGACCUGGAACGCGAAUAAAGAGGAGAGAUCAGCUUUGGUGCAGCUGGGGAGACGAGGAGGAGCCGGCCAAGUCCCUCAAGAUGUGUCGGCUAGAGUCUGGCCAGUGCGGGCUGCCGGGCCGGAGCCAGAUGGAGCCGCUGGCCACGCUCAGGAGCCUCUGCCCCCGUAUGGUGUGGUGUGGUCCCGGGCCUGGCUCAGGGUGGCCGCUGCUCCCAUUCACAGCCCUGCCCUGCCCUUGGCUGGACUGGGAAGAUCAGAGGGGGAAGCGGAGGGGAAGUUGAUUUUGCUCCUUGUGACGCAGUUGUCUGCGGGGCCUCUGGCGUUUGCAGACUUGGGGUGGGUGCUUCCCCGUUGAUUUUCCUCAUUUUGUUCGUCAUCUGCUUCCUUGCUCCCUGCUUACCGGGCUGGCUUCUGCUGCCAUGACACGGGCAUUACGUGUCCCCAGCCAGGCUAGCACCACGGUUGGCGUCCCCUGAGAGGGGGACCGGGCAUAUCUGGCACUCGGUUCUCAACCUUUGAACCCCUGCGCUCUGGGAGCCAGGAGGCAGAGUGGGGCCUCUCCAUCCGGGGUCCAGCAGAGGUUAACAGGGCUGGUGGUGCCGGAGCUGCGGUGGUGUGGCCUGGCCAGGAGGCGCUGGGGAGGGGCCCCGCCGGGGGACCUGAUUGGUCAGCACCUUCUCUGUUCCACUGAAUCCUGAGCCGGUCGGGGCCGUGAAUUGUUUAAUGCAUAUCUUGGCUCUGUCCCCUGGCACGAGGGCCUCCGAGGCUGCAGCCACAGUUUUAGCGAGGAUGUGUACCUCGUGCUGGUCACUGUUUUGGGCACGUUGCCUCCCUGUGAGAUAUGAAAGAGAUACUGCCCUUUCCACUAGCAGGCUGUCUGUGGGAGGCCCUCCUUUUGCGUUGCUUUUCUGGGCCUUGGAGUGUCUGUGAAGAAGGCCUAGGCUGGGUUUGAUUCCUUGCUGGCUCCUUUCACAGGAGGCUGCUCGCGAGCUGGUGAAGCCAGAGAAAACCUCCAGGCCCCGAGGCCCGUGCACAGCCUGAUGCGAUAGUGUCGGGCCUGGGCAGGAAGGAGCAGGGGCACGAGGAUGGAGCGAGGCACGCGGGGACGUGGUCGCGCAUCGUCUGACCACAGGAUCGGGGCAGCGGGGGUGGGGUGGGAGGAUGCGUCCGGCGUUCAACCAGCGGUGCCGGCUGCAGCCUGGAAUGGGCCUGUGUGUGCGUGGAGCCCAGGUCAGGGUCUGUAAUGAGGCGUGAGGCUAUGAGAUGGGCAUCGGGACUCUUGGUCCCGGCAGAGGGUCCCAGGAAAGGGAAACUGACUUUCGUUAAGCGUCUGUCUUUGCUGGUCUGAUUUCAUCCUCAGAGCAACCGCAUGAAGUAGGUAUUACUUCCCUUCAACAGAUAAGGAAGCCGUGCGUAGUAAUUCACUGAACCAAGGUCACAUACUUGGCAAGUGGGAUUGUUGAGCUUUAAACCCCGGCACUUUGGAUUCCAAAGCCUGUGCUUUUUCUUCGCCCUCUUGGGUGGAAGUCAGACAUCUUUGGGAGCUAAGACCAUCAGAGAUCAGGCAGCCGGGAGAUCUGACGGAAACCGGUGCGAAAGGACAGGUGCCUAGGGGGACGUGGCAGCCACUGGCCAUAGCCAUGCCAUAUCCCUUUCGGGGGGAGGGGGGCAAGGCAGAGGCAGCUAGUUUCUGGUGUCCCUGAACAGGCAGGGCUGAGCAUGGCAGAUACACCCACGCCACAAGUGUGCGCCCAGUCUCUGCUUCGUGGCGGGGCGUGUGCUAGGAGCCGGGGACGCAGAACUCUACAAAACCAAGUUUCUGCUCUCCUGGGAUGUACUUUCUCGUGUAGGGAGAGGUCGUUCACGAUAAUAAAAAAGGAAUUAGGAACUAUAUAAAGUAUGCAGAUACAAAAAGGCGGACACCCACCCGUAAGAAGCAGCGGUCCCAAUGUUGGUCGGGGAGGGAAUUUGAGAGACUGAAGGAUCUCGACCACCUGGGGAAGCCAUAUUGAUGGAGCCCCCAGCGUUCAAGUUGAUAGAGUUGCUGAUGCCUCUCUUCUCCUAAGAGCUGGAAGAACCCCCCAAGGUCCCCAAAGCUUACAAGAACGUGCAGUGAGUCAGGGAUCAAGGUGGCAGUAGACGUCAAGCCGUUGGUCACCAGCAAACGGAGGUUUUUCCGUUAGCCAUGGCUGCUCUUGGCCUAACGUCUCCCCCCCUCACCAGGUGGCAGCUGGCGCCUCUCUGCCUCGUCGCGGUGCCCCUCUCUCGUCCACACCGACAGGGGAGCGCUCGGGUUAAGUCUUCGCCAAGUCACCAGUAAAAUAUGUGCCUGCAGGAGACAGAAGUCAGCUCAGGCUCCCCUGGCAGAACCCGCGGUUCCAAGAUUAUCGCGAUAGGGACGGGUCAGGGGGCGGGAGAGGGAGGAGAAGUCACCUUGUGCCAGAUGCUUGGACAAGUUUUGUGUCCAAAAGAGGUUGAGGCAAGUUGGUGGCUGGAGAUGGGGGAGGGGAUGUCUCCAGCGUGUGCGGCUCCAGGGCUCAGGAGUUGUUUACAGGGUAGAAGCUUAUGGUGAGUCAGGCCACGUGAUUCUUCCCUCCCUGGCCCCGUGGUCGAAGCCUGCCCCACUUGAACCUCGGAGACUGCCACCUGCUGCCAGGGGGCAGAUGUUGCACCAAGGUGCGGUGUGGGUCUUGGGGUGUGGUUGUGGGAACUCCGGGAAAGGGGGCGUUCUGUGGCGUGGUAUAGAAGUCUCCACAGUCCCGUGUUCUGGCCCAGGAUCCCGUGGUAAAAUCUUACUCACUUUACCCUUUUGGGACUCACUUUCAUUAUUUAUCAGAUGAGGGGGUUGACCCAGAAUCUUCUGGGAGGUGCCUGCCGACUCUGACGUGGGGGCUACCUGGGUGUUCGCGGAGGUGUUUCUUAGGCAGAAACUCAGGUCGGGAACGAGCAGGCCUGACUUACGGGAGAGGGGAGGGGCCUUGAAGGAUCUGAGAACAGCUACAGUCCUGUUUGCUGCCGGGAUGCUGUCACCAUCAAUUAGGGCAGGUGGGUGGAGACAGUUUUCCAGGAACUCUUCAGGAGCGAGCGGGAAGGGGCCGGAGAUUGCGUGAAGGUGUCUCAGGAAGGUCACCCAAGUGACAGGGGUUGUGACCUCUGGCUCCCACCAAGGGGCCUGUCUGGAGCUGGGCAGUGUGGGAGCCGCUGGGGUCUUUGCUGUGCCACAGGGGCUGACCUGAGAUGCCACCGUGCUCUAGGGAAGACGCUCUGUCCUUUGUGACCCUGAAUCCUUGAGGGAACACGGGACUACGGGUCCCGUGUCCUGGGCCUUGCCUGAGACGUCUGUUCAGGGUCUGUGCCCCUUGCUGUCAGGAAGUCUUCUUUUAUAUUUAGCCAUUUUUUUCUCAUGUGGUUGUUUAAGCCCUUCUAUUUAAAAAAAAAAAAAAAAAAAAGACAAGAGAAAAAAAACAAAAAACAAAAACAAAAAUAUCUCCGAGCCGUUUGGUUCCAUUUUAGCUUUUCAGUCUUGAGUCACUGUUUUAAAGGUAGCAAAAGUAAAACACACGCAGGGAAGCUCAAGGCCCCAGACCCUCGUGGGCUGUUGUGAAAGGCCAGCCCGGGGAUAUGGCGGCCUCUGUCCCCAACGUCCCCCGCUUCUCCAAGGCUGCGUGGGUAGGAGCCCCUGGGGCUGCGGGCACCUGCUGCGCGGGCCACCGAAUGGAAUGCAGGGUUUUUCAAAUUAGCAAUAUGCCUUCAAGACACGAUCCGUGUGCUGCUUUACUGGACACUUACGCUGGGACUCGUAGCUGUGAGCCCACCCCCUUCCCCACCAGGGUGGGGUGGCAAACAGGGAUUUGGGCCAGGAUUCAGGCAAGAGCCGAACUGAUCCGUGACCGACGUCUUAUGCGCACCGUGUGUUGUUUUUGCAGCUCUUUUCAGAUUCGCUGGCUUGCUUGGUCCUCACACAGCCCUGUGAGGGUCGGCGGUGGGAUCCCCGUGGGUGUUCAAGCUCAGCCUCAGACAGCCCUGCUGAGGUCCGGUUUCUUGUACCUGCUUAAUUUGGGUCACCGCACCCCCCCCCCCCCCGCCCCCAGGCCCUCCGACUCCAGAUGUCAUUUCCUUGGGUUUCAGUUGUGCUCUUUAGCUGAGCAGGGGGGCAGGGCAGGGAUGGGGAGUGCAUCUUGGGUAGCCGACUUGAUCUCUGUAGGUUGCAGGUUUCUUUUCUACGCAUCGAAUGGGGAAGGGAGCCUCCACCCAGGUUCUCCUGUUCUUGGAUUGUUUCAACUUCUCUUACGAGGAGUUCUUAUGAAACCUGGCUUGCCCUCCUUGACCAGGAAGCCAGCCAUUCACCAUGUGUCUCUGGUGAGACUCCCUACGUUUGGAAGCUUCUGGAACAUACGGUGCUUUAGACCGUUCCGGCACAUCUGUCGGGCACUUCAGGCAUGUGCAUGUAGCCCUGUUUCUGCCAAGUGGCUCACUUAGAAAUGAAGCCCCAUUGUGGGGCAUUUUUUUUCCAACAGAUUUAUAAGGUAUGCCCAGAGCUUUCUGCCCAGCGUGUGCAUCGUGUAUACGUUAUCUGUUUGCUGGCUAAUUAACAUACAGCACCCGCUGGAAGGAUUGGCCAACGUAUACUGUAAGCUGGUGGAACCAGUGGCUUCAGCUCUGAACGUUGCUUUCUGAUAGAGUUGAAAAAGUAGGCCUUACCCACAGAGGGGAAGGUGGAUCAGAGAACGCCUGGGCAUCAGUGUUCCCUGGAUACUGGGCGUAAGCCCACUCUUUAUGAGGAGGGUCGAGGCACAGCCUGGACUGUGUCUUCUGGGCCGCAUGGCCCUCUGAGUGGCCUUUAUUCAGAGAGACCCAGAGCGAGCCUGUAUGAAGGGAGAGAGAAGUGCUUGUCUUUGUUUAUGGCACCCUUAACUCGUGGUGGUUUGGGCUCACCUCGGGCACGUUUCUUGAAGGAUCGGGGUCGGACAGCGUGGCAGCACGCAUAUGUCUGUCCGUUUGUGUUCCCGGAUGCAGGCUUGGCUCAUAGAGAAGCCCUGCCAUGGGGAAUCCAUAGAAGAAUUGUUUUGCUGGAGCGAAGGCUUUGGAUAACUUUUGUGUGAAGAUGCGUCACACCACACCCAGAUCUUUCUGUUCUCCUGGAGGAUGGGAAGGAGGAUGGCAGGACCUGUAGCUGGGAGGCGAUCUAGGCCAGCCUUCAGGGAGGGCUGUGGCGGCCUCUUCGCUGAGGGCUCCCAAAGAGACACAGAGCUUCUUUAUCUCAGAAGAGGGACUGGAUGUCCCUGUCGAGGUCCCUCGGGUCCUGAGCGUGUGGGACUGUGAGGCUCUCCCUGGAACAGCGUGAACUUCGGGUACCGGGACCCAGAGCAGGUUGCACAUCUUUUCUUUCUGCCGUGGAGGCAAGCCUAACCUCGGUGGGCCCCACGAGCAUCGGGCCUGGAGCUCUAACCUUGUUCCCUCCUGCAGAGAGAAUUCCCAGAACUGACCCGAACAGCAUUGAUAUUAUUUGCAGAUAAAAAAAGGAGAAAGCCAUGUUGUCCCUCAUCGCUGCCAGGAAAGAGCCCUGAGCGGCUCUAAUCCUGUCUUUGUACCACUGCCACUCCCCACCCUUGCUGACCGCCCCCCCCCCCCCCCCCCCCCCCAGCCUAGGGCCCUUUGAUAGGCACUAGAGAUGUGAAUGAGUUUGGUGGGAAGGCCAAGGGCAGGGACAGACAUGGUUUGCUGGGAAGAAGGUAGGACAAGGAAAAGGAGUAUCUCAGGGCAGGCCCACGGGCACACAUGUGUAUUCAGAUGGACAUACUCUUUACUGGUAACGCCAGAGUCUGACAUGAACCAGUUAAUGCCUAAAUGAGGGUUGAUUUCGUGUGGAGAAUCAUACAUCAUUUUGUGUUUAAGUCUGCAGCUUUAGCAUCAAAAGGCCUGACAGGCUGGGGACUUUUCGCUGGGCCCUCCUGUCUGUAAGAUCAUGCUCAUUUUAUAUUGAUUUUCUGUCUCCUUUCUUUCCUGUUUUCCACUCUCAUGCAUUCCUUAGGCGUACGUGAAUAUUUGUCCACGCAUUCGUGUUACGACUUCCUUGGGGUACCGUUCUUUUCAGUGUCUCCGACAUCAUUGAACGUAUUGCUUUUAUUUAAAAUGUGAACAGGCCAGAGGCUCACUGCAGAGGGGAGCCAUCCUUGCACUGCCCGCAGAAUCCUCUUCUCUACCUUGUUCUGGAGUAGGGCAUGUGGAGCCCUGAGGAGACGGGAAUCAAGGGUGUCUGUGGGAACCAGCCAGACCCCGUGCCAUGCCCCCUCUUUGGGAAGGGGUUGCUCAGGCAUGAAUCCCCCACCCCUAACAUUAUUAGCAGUUUCUUCUUUUCAGCUUGAACCCUGAGUAGUGGCCUUGAAAGUCCAAGAACACCUGUCACCCUGCUUAGGUGAGGGCGACAGAGAGGGACGGGGACAGACGGGAAGGGGACACACGCUCCUGGCCACGGGCCUCUCUCCAAGACAGGUGAACUCUGUGUUCCAAAAGGAACUCAUUUAAUCUUUUGGCCCCAAUGGAAGUUGUUUGUAUUUUCUCUCCCUCUCUCUUCUCCCUCCUCUCUCUCUCCCUCAACACCCCCGCCUCCACCCUCCAGCCUCCAAAAGAAUUUAAUCUGCUGGACAACAAACAAUACUGUUAUAAAACUUUGAAAACAAGAGGGUGAGGCCUCCCUGACAAGGAGAAGGGCAUGCCGGGUAACGGCCGAGGGAGCCUGCCAGGCCCGGGACGGAGCCGGGCGAGGGCCCAGUUGGCCGGGUACCUGGGCGCCUGCCCCCACCCAGCCCACCAGCCCAGCCAUCCCCAGUCCAGAGGGGAAGGAACCGAAACAAAAGCAGGGGCAGAGAAGCGCCUGGAAAGGGGAAGUUGUACGUGUUCCCCUCUCUCUGAUCUGAUGCGAGUGCGCCAGACUGUGAAACUUCCUCCCCCACCCCUCCCCCGCCAGCCUCCCUCCCUCCUCGUCCUGCCUCCUCCUGCCUCCUCCCACCACUCUCUGUUCCAGGCCUGAGGCCCGAUAACAGAACAGGGCUGGCCUAGGUACAGCCACCGGCCGGCCGGCCGGCUGCAGGGGAAGCAGGCAAGGAAGGUGUUCCAAGUUGGCUUUGGACUCUGGACGUACCCUCUGCGUCCCCUUCCUGCCCCCAGCUAGAGAUGUGGAGCCACGGCGCGAGGUGUGCCCCAGUCCACGUGCCCCGCCAGGGGUGUGCCCAGCUACCGGGAGAACCUCCGCUCGGAGGUUAGUGGGUCUGUCCCACUACCCGGUGUCUGCUGGAGGCCAUGCUCCCAGGAGGCCGUCAGACUCGUACAGGUGGCCUGCUCUCCCUCCAGAGGGAGCCGGGCUGAGCUGUGGAGCCCUGGAGCCUCCAGAGGGGCUCAGGGGACAGAGACUUGCUCCCCGCAGCAAGCAGGCACAGGGUCCUGGCAGCGGGGUGCCUGGUGGGGUUACCGUGUCUGCUGCUCGGGGUGACCCAGCUCUGCCUGGGGAGCAGGCAAGCUGGGCGCUGGGGCAUCGCCCCCCAGCCUUCUGAGUGGAUUUCACCUGAGACCGAAGUUUCGCCGCCACGCCCACCUGCACUGCGUGGAGCACAUGAUUUGGGACGGGAGAGUGAGAAGCAGCGGUGGUCUGCCUUUGGCCCGAGGUUGUUUGGACCCGUGAACCGUGUGGUGGGCAUUGUGUUUGUGUAAUGGGCUGUAGGCGUGCUCGCUUUCCUCUCGUGGGAAGCAGUUCAGGGCAGUGCCCGUCCUCCUGCUCUGCCUGAGCGAAGCCUCUCUCUGGGGAAGUGUGGGGGGCCCCCCCCCUCUUCAUUCCAUCGCUCCUCCUUCUCUGUGCUCCCCACUGUCCCCUGCUGCCCCCCCACGCCCCACGGCACCCCAAGGCAUCCCAUCCUCCCAGCCAGCCGACCAGCCAUCCCGAGCCUGGGCCUGUACUGAAUCUGGAGGAUUUCCAGAUGCGGGUCUUCUCUGGUGUUGAGGCGGGACAGAGAACCGAACCGGGCGGAAAGCAGCUGCCUGGGAACUCAGGCCGCGGUACCCCGGCCCCAGGGAAACCCGGCAUUGCUGAUGUGGGGCCCACGUGGUAUGAGAAGGCUGUGACCUCCUGCCCUGUUACCUCCACAGGCAUUUGAGGGGCUCAGUGGGUCUAGAGCGUGUUAUUCUCACUUCGGGAUGCCGGGUCUGGGACGUGUAGGGAUCCCUGGAUGCCCCGCCCUCCUUUUGGGGGCCAAGCUGCCCGGAAAAGAGCCAGCUCCAUGUUUCCUGCCUCCCUCACCCUCCAUUCCCUCCUCCCUUGCCCCCCGUGCACAUACCCAUACACAUUUUAUCACCCUUUCCUCUGAUUCAUUAACCACAGCUAGUUGGCAACAGGCCCCCACCCUGACAGCUCAAGACAAAAUGUCCAGGACACUGGGUCCGGCCUGGAGCUGAGUGACAGGAAGCUGGGCCGGGCCUCUCGGCUCACGCAUACAAUGGGCAAGGACCGUGUGGAGUGCAGAACCUUCCUCAUUUUCAGAAGGGUCUUCCCCAGGCCCCUCUCUCUCACCAAGAUGACUCUUCUUCGCUGCCAGGAGCCUGGAAACCAGCAUCCCGGGUAGCAGGAAGACCUGAUCUGGGCUCUGCUUCCGGCACCCCUCCCCCGCGCCGGCUGGAGCUUGCGUCAGUCAUGUAAGUAGCCGUGACUCAGCACCCAGCCUGGUCGGGAGGGAGGCAGAAGACGCCUCCCAGGAACCUUCCCAGCAUUCUGGAUUUGAACACAUGGUGGUGGCUGAACACACUGAACGAGCUGGCGGCCUUCGGUUCCUGGGGGUGCGUGUCUGUCCGUUCCGCGGGUUUGCUUAUAGGUCUCAUAACCCGGGGUUCCUCUCCUUCCCGUUUUCAUCCCGUGUUAUUUUUUGGACACCAUGCCUGGCAUAGGAUUUUUAGGACUUUAAAAGGCACAGACGGCAUCAUUUCUAGAACGCAGCAGAAGCUCUCUUUGCAGUCUCCAGACUGCCCUUUAAACCGAUGGCCCAUGAAUCAUCUUUAACCCUCAGAUGUUUUUGUUUGACUUACAGAGUUUUCGUUGUUUUUGUUUGUUUGUUUGUUUAACGUGUCCGAUUCAGACAUGCUUUUAGACAAAACACAGCCUCUCCAGGUCACUGGACUUCUGCUGCACGAGGUCUCUGCCUCUCUGUCCUCUUUCCCACCCCAGCCCUCAAGCAUUUGAAUGCACGGAGACUGGUCUGCAUGAGCCCUCCCUCAUUUUGGAAAAACUGGGGCCCAUUCCAGGGAGGUGCGGGUCCCCCGUUCUCAAGUCUGGGCCGCGCAGGAAUUAAAGCCCCUGUGUUCUGAUUCACUGUGUGGUGACCUUUCCUCCACCCUCGGUCGCUGCCCGGGCAGAGGAGUGUCUAGGCAUGAGGGGGUGGAAAACCCUCCAAAUAGGACGUCUGCACAGAAAUGGACGGAGGCUGCACCGUGCUUCCCAGACCUUCUCCCUGCGUGGUGGCGUACCCAGCUCUCUGGCUGGGCGGUUUCCCUUCCCCGACAGCGCACCAGACUCUUCCCACUGGCCCGUGUGCGUGGGACUGUUGGGCCAGGCUGGGACGAUCACACCGUCCGCCUUUGACAGCAGAGCCCUAGCAGGCUGGGGCCUCCAGCCCCCUUAGACCACCUGGCCCCGUCUAACAAGGGAACAGAAACACCAGCUAGCUUCAGGGCCGAUGCUUCCUGGGUAGCGGGAGAGACUGUAACGAAUCCCCCUGAUGACCACGUGACGUACGUGCGUCCUGAAGGACAAGAACUAGGUGCUGUGAGAGGGCGUAACCCAACACCUGGCUCACCUGGGGAAAGCUUCAGGCGACCUGCGUCACCUGGGAGAGGGUUGAUGGGGUGGUAGCCCUGGGAGAGUGGACGACAGAGAAUGUUCCAGAAAGAGGGAAUGGUGUACGCAGAGGCCUGCUAGGGGAGGAAGGAGGCUGUCUGGAUCACUGAAAGACACCUGUGUGACAAUACCUUGGGAAAGGUUUUGUGGAUACUGGCAGUCGGGGGUUACUAAGGAGGAAGAGUUCGGCUGGAGUAAAAAGCAAAAAAGCUGAGAAGUAGCAAAGGUAGAUCUCCAACCCCCUCGUUUUAUAGGACCCCACAGAAAUGACUCUCAUUUACCACUUACUUCCUGACCUUAAAACCCUGGGAGUUAACCUGUGUCGCGGGGCCCAGCUGUUGACUGCAGGUGCCCUGUGUCAGAACCGCUGCCCAGCUCCUCCCUCAGUGGCUGGGGCCUCGCAGAGCCCCUGGGCUCGGAGCCCAGUGCUGGGGUCAGAAUCCAGAGUCCAGCACAGCCAUUGCUGGUGGUUCAUCUCCAACGCCUCCCCCAACCGCAGCUACGCCCUAGGAGAGCACAGAGGCUCCAGAGGGGCAGGAGGAGUGGGCGAGCCAGCUGGGGACACCGGGCCCCUCACGGGACCAGCUGGGCUCCCAUCUCCACCAGGUUAAACGUGUUGUGCAGUCAGUCACAUCCACGGCCACGCAGAAACCUUGCCUAGGACUCCCCCCCCCCCCACCCUUGCUCACAAUUGAGUUCAAGAACAGAAUGAGAUGAUAGACCAGCCGUGGAGCAGGUGCAGUGGACAGAGGGGCAGGAACACAGACUCUGGAGUUAGACUUGGGGUCUCUCUACCACGUAGUAGUCACGUGACCGUGGCGAGUCCCCGAACUACAUGAAGGAGCAGUUUCUCCUGCAGGCGCGGGAAUACUACUUGCUUCGCAAGACCGACCCAAUUACAAAGCACACCUCAGUGUUCAAAUUUUAUUUCCUUCUCCUGCCUGCAGCGGCACAUGCUGUGAUUUCUGGGAGCCACAAUAAAUACAGGCCUGGAUCUGGAAGCCUUCAGAGCUGGUAGACAGCCCGAAAGAUCCAGAUUCUACUCUGUCUCCUCUUUCCUUAGUUGUGGCAUCCCAGGAGAUACAGACCUGUUUUCUCAGCUUCCGAUGACCAAAACAAAAGCAAACAAACAGACAGAAAACCCGACACAUUUAGGAGAUGGGAAAUCUAAUUUGAACACAGGAUGCAAAUCUUAUUUUCAGACACGUUUUUGAAAACAGCACAAAACUCGGUCCUUGUGUUAGAGGAUUAUCUACUUAACACCGCUUCAGGACACGACAUUUGUGUGUGCGUGUCACAGCAGAGGUUAAACGAAGAUUGCUAAUGUUCUGACCCUUACUUGAGGCUGGCAAGGUGGACCCCAGGCUCUUCCUGAAUAGGGCGCAUCAGGAGUUGCCCCCGAGCAGGUGAAACUCACCUGGCUCGAACCUCCUAGGCAGAUAGGACGCUUGUUUCCUGAUGACGUGACAUAGUGUCAGAAGACACUGCGUGCUGUGAAAUGUUUUCGAGAGCAGGGGGCGAUGCUAAUGAAAACGUUAACGCAUUCUCAUAAUAGCUCUGGGAUACUUCCCUCCAUCACACGUGUAAUAAACUGUUAGGACUGGUUGUCCAGGGUCAACUAGGCUCCAUGAGUUUUGUAUUGCUACCGUCUGUGUGACGCGUCAGCCGCGACUUUCACAUUCCUUGAGCAUCCCUGGCUAGGUCCGCUCUGUGCCUCUCUCACGGACCGCGAUGUCCCGCCCCGAGUGGAACUGCAAGAAGACAGGGCAGCACCUGGGUCUUCCGGUUGUGUCUUCCUUCUUUCUUCAAUGAGAUCCUCUUCUUCUGGAAGCUGGUUUCACAUGGUGGCUUAGAUUUUUCCAUCUUUGUAUCUAGCACCAUUUGAAAUCAGUGUUUUAGGAGUAAGAAUUGCGGCGCAGCAAAGGGCCACCUGCAGAGGAGCUCUCGCUGGUGGGACAGAGCCCCUCCAUCUGCCGCCUGAGCCGGUCCAAGAGAGGAAGAACUUGAAAAGGAAAAGUGCGCCGCAGCGUAUGUCCGUUGCGGGUUGUGGAGGGGCGGCCGUGCGGGGAGGGUGUUUGUGUUUCAAAGAAACUCCGAGCUGGAGCAGGGGCCGAGGUGAUGCCUGGUUGUAGCACCUGGGAGCACCACCGGGCGCUCACCUGUCUGUAGGGCCUCUGACCGCGGGGACCAGGCGAUGCCGGCUCCUCUGGUACUCGAUUGUAGCGGGGGAGGGGCGAGGCUGUGUGCCUGGAGGACGGUUCCAUCCCCAUCGGCGUUGCACCCCCUCCUAGAGGCCCCGGAACACCCAGCUGCACUUGCAGUGCGGCUGGAAUCAGACUUGCCGCCUGCACGGUCAAGUGCCGGACCCCCCGGGAGCACCACCGGACCCAUCUCUUACACAGGCUGACCGAUUUCUCCUGGUGUUCAGAGUCUGUUUUUGUCUAGCACCAUUUGAAAUCGGUUAUGAUGUAGGGGGAAAAGCAGCAGCCUCGAGACCUCACGCCAAGUCUGGUGAGCAACAGCCUCUGUUCUCCUGGAAGACGUGGUCUCCCGGAAGACGGAUGGGCAGAGCGUGGGGAAGGACGAUCACGCUUUUUUCACUAGCUUCUUUCACUGCAUUAAUGAUACCUUAUUGCGGAGGUAAGAGAGAAUUGAAUGCAGUUUUAAAAACAAAUCGCUGUAACCUAUCUGAUGUCCUGGGGUGCAGUUUGCUAAAAUGUGGCAAUGCUGUGUAUUCUGUAAAUGGCUGCUGUUGAAUUCUCUUUCUGUUAAGAGUCUAUUCAUGCAUCUUGACCUGAAUAAAUAUUUUACUCUCUUCAAUCAA